Molecule: ribosomal RNA, 253 nt
Filed under: uncultured bacterium
Lineage: Bacteria
Description: partial 16S ribosomal RNA
Rfam family: Bacterial small subunit ribosomal RNA
Source: RNAcentral
CACGGGGGGAGCAAGCGUUGUUCGGAAUUAUUGGGCGUAAAGAGCUCGUAGGCGGUUUGUCGCGUCGAAUGUGAAAACCCGGGGCUCAACCCCGGGCCUGCAUUCGAUACGGGCAGACUAGAGUUCGGUAGGGGAGUCUGGAAUUCCUGGUGUAGCGGUGAAAUGCGCAGAUAUCAGGAGGAACACCGGUGGCGAAGGCGGGACUCUGGGCCGAUACUGACGCUGAGGAGCGGAAGCGUGGGGAGCGAACAGG